Molecule: ribosomal RNA, 547 nt
Filed under: Escherichia coli
Lineage: Bacteria; Pseudomonadati; Pseudomonadota; Gammaproteobacteria; Enterobacterales; Enterobacteriaceae
Description: partial 23S ribosomal RNA
Rfam family: Bacterial large subunit ribosomal RNA
Source: RNAcentral
CCGGUAAACGGCGGCCGUAACUAUAACGGUCCUAAGGUAGCGAAAUUCCUUGUCGGGUAAGUUCCGACCUGCACGAAUGGCGUAAUGAUGGCCAGGCUGUCUCCACCCGAGACUCAGUGAAAUUGAACUCGCUGUGAAGAUGCAGUGUACCCGCGGCAAGACGGAAAGACCCCGUGAACCUUUACUAUAGCUUGACACUGAACAUUGAGCCUUGAUGUGUAGGAUAGGUGGGAGGCUUAGAAGUGUGGACGCCAGUCUGCAUGGAGCCGACCUUGAAAUACCACCCUUUAAUGUUUGAUGUUCUAACGUUGACCCGUAAUCCGGGUUGCGGACAGUGUCUGGUGGGUAGUUUGACUGGGGCGGUCUCCUCCUAAAGAGUAACGGAGGAGCACGAAGGUUGGCUAAUCCUGGUCGGACAUCAGGAGGUUAGUGCAAUGGCAUAAGCCAGCUUGACUGCGAGCGUGACGGCGCGAGCAGGUGCGAAAGCAGGUCAUAGUGAUCCGGUGGUUCUGAAUGGAAGGGCCAUCGCUCAACGGAUAAAAGGUAC